Long non-coding RNA from Ciona intestinalis (vase tunicate), 387 nucleotides. RefSeq lists it as uncharacterized. NCBI's taxonomy places the organism in Eukaryota, Metazoa, Chordata, Ascidiacea, Phlebobranchia, Cionidae. The record is from RefSeq and is a predicted model, not a curated record.
UUGCUGCUUAUCAGUGGAAUUAUUGGUUGUUAAGAAUAUAAAAGGCGGUCACACCGACCACAAUCACCAACAUAUUCCGAUCAAGACAAAUCUGAACGAAAUGGAUCGAAAGAUUGUUUUUGCUCUUCUUCUCUUGGUGGUUAUUCAAGCUUCUGUGGUGUCCGCCGAUUUGUUAGUCAGACCAAGGCCACUUAUUAGACAUCUAAAUGAUAAUGACCAGCAGUUUGAUCACGAAAUGGGCAGAAACGCGGAACAAGAGAUGGAAGGGGGGCGUGUUAAAGAUUUUAGGUGGCGUUGAAUGGAAUAAGAGUCAAUCACUCAGUGAGAAGGUGAAGUUAUCACUGAGCGAAAGGAAUUGUUGACUCAAUAAACAACAAAAACAAAUUA